UGAUUUUGAACCAGUAUUUUAAAUUGUUCACAAGAAAUUUUUUUUGCACACAUGGGAUUAAAUAAUACUUUGUUUCUACUGGUGGACCCGGGGUCUCUAGAAAAUUCAGCUAUCUCUGAGUUUUUGUUAUUCAAAAUAUCUAUUUUGAUUGCAUCAUAAUCUAUACAGGAAAAUAAAAAUACAGGUUAGUUUUCUGAUUGUUCAUUAUUACGUAACAUCAGAUCUUGUACAACAAAGGUAGGUCGUAUACGGCAGCUCCGAGCGAGAAUUAUCUUGAGUGUUGACGUUUAUUUCCUACAUCCAGUAGCGCGGGCGGUGUGGGACUCUGACUAGCGCACCGCCGCACGCUGCGCUGCGCGCCGCAUACGGCCGAUCGGGGUCCGGUCCACUGCAAUCUCGGUCUUACGAACCGAUUCACAACGUCGUCAAAGGGCUACGGAGCUCGGGUCGAGCGGGCGCGCGGGUCGAGGGGGUGCGGUCAGUUGCGGUCGUCGCGCUCGGGCGCGGCGGGGCUGUGCGGUUCUUCUGAAACCAAGUGUACGUUUUCAA
RNAcentral lists this unclassified non-coding RNA (549 nucleotides) under Melitaea cinxia (Glanville fritillary). RNAcentral describes it as "misc RNA ENSMCXG00005012509.1". Lineage: Eukaryota; Metazoa; Arthropoda; Insecta; Lepidoptera; Nymphalidae. The record is from RNAcentral.